RNAcentral lists this long non-coding RNA (323 nucleotides) under Phoenix dactylifera (date palm). RNAcentral's name for it is "long non-coding RNA (PDAC_LNC002243)". The record is from RNAcentral. Lineage: Eukaryota; Viridiplantae; Streptophyta; Magnoliopsida; Arecales; Arecaceae.
GUAGAAUCCUGCGGAUGGGAAUGCUCUUCCUUGGCUCCCCGUUGACGCCACAGGAUAUCCCAAGCCAAGCUCAAGGGAUGACUUUGUAGAUGCUCCCCACUCAGAUAAAAGGCGUACUUGUAGAAUCCUGCGGACGGAGGUGCUCUUCCUUGGCUCUCUGUUGACGCCACAGGCCAUCCCGAGCCAAGCUCAAAAGAUGACUUUGUAGAUGGAACCUGUAGUUGUGAGACCCUCGGGCUCUCGCUAAGUCGUGCAGGGCACCCCGAGACAAGCUCCAGGGGUGACUUUAUAGAUAGAACCUGUAGUUGUGACGCCCUCAGACU